GGCUUUCCUCUGCUUCCGAAGCACAGAAAAACCACUGAUGACGGUGGCUGACCGGCGGUGGCUGGAUUUGACCGACGGAGAACGAGUUAAUCGCGGGAGGUGGAGCAUGACACCAAGCAGACCAGCAGUGGAGGUGAAGAAGAUGUAGGAAGGGACGCUAAGUUCGUUAGCGACAUCGAUCAAGGUAGAGCAGAAAAGAUCGACGACUAACCCUGCGAUUGGAGCCCGAGUUGGAGUUGAUUCAGAGUCCAAAUCGGAGGAAAGGGGACUGGUGAUUGUGUGUUUGACAAGUGGUUUGUGGGUUUCUACGAGAACGGACACGAGACUCUCUCGGGUUCGAAGAUUGGAUGACGAAGGAGGUGGCUCGAGCUCAGGGAGGUGGACGAAUCGGAUUUGUGGAAGGGAAUCGGUGUAAGAAGUGAAAUCUGAUGAAACAAAGAGUGUUUUGAUGAGGAAGUCGCUGAUGGAGAAACGAUCGUCUCCAUCGAAGAGUUGUUUGGCAAACUCCAUCCUUGAGACAAGAUGAAUCCCAUAGCUGGGAUGAACACCAACUCUGCUUUCUUCUUCAUCCUUAAUUUGUUUUUCCUGCUGUAAGGUCGCUUCCUAUCGGGUUUUAUUCGACUAAUUUAUAGCGAAUAGUCGGAAAGGGGAGACCUGGAAAGCUUGUCGGAUGUGAUUGGGCUCUCUCCGGCCGGCGCUGGGAGGAUCAAAAUCAAAUUCUGUAUUACACGAUGGGCGCACCUAAAUUAGGAUGAUUUAAAACAUGAAUUGAGAGCUUCAUAGCUUGUAUUCCUUCUUUUUUUUUCUUUUGGUUUGGUUGUCUAUGUGUACAGAGAUGCUGGACUGGAUGGAAAUCUUCCAUUGAUGAUGGCCAUGGUUGGUUUAUAAUGGCGACUCUACACAGUAAAAUUGGAAUUUCUUUC
Macadamia integrifolia is the source of this 923-nucleotide long non-coding RNA. RefSeq lists it as uncharacterized. The record is from RefSeq and is a predicted model, not a curated record. The transcript has 2 exons. Lineage: Eukaryota; Viridiplantae; Streptophyta; Magnoliopsida; Proteales; Proteaceae.